RNAcentral lists this small RNA (579 nucleotides) under Pan troglodytes (chimpanzee). Its description in RNAcentral is "retained intron". Lineage: Eukaryota; Metazoa; Chordata; Mammalia; Primates; Hominidae. The record is from RNAcentral.
UUUUUAAAAAGCACUGCUUACCCCUGGGGGCCAUUCAUAUAAUAAGUGUAUUGUAGAAAUUGAACAUUUUCUAAUGAUGUACAUUGUAGUGAAAUUUUACUUGAUAUUCAGUGCAUGUAUUUGUCACUUAAAGGUUCUUUCUGUAAACUGCUUCAGAUUCUUUUACUAUUCAAUUUUUAAUUCUUAAUAUCUGUAAAGAAUGUUAAUAUUCCUCUUUAUAAUCAAUCUUUCCCAGUUAGCCUUAAAAAUGUAUUCCCUACUUUUUCUUCAGGAGAUCACUAUUUGCAAAUGCAAAGAUUUUUUACUUAGACUUUUGAAAUCACUCUUAGUAACUUUAACAUUGUUUUUAGGUAUGAAAUUGAAGGCUGUGAAGUGAUUUGGGCCAUUAAAGAUAAAGCUAUAGGGAAUACUUUCUUCGAUGCAGGAGCAGCUGAAUUCUUGACUUCAAAGCUCAUUGCUGAAAAAUCAGAGGCUAAAAUUGCACAUAAAAGAACCAGAUAUACAACUGAAGGAAGGAAAAAGGAAGCUAGAAGCAAAUCUAAAGCAGAUAAUGUAGGCAGCGCAUUGGGACCAGAUUGG